Molecule: non-coding RNA, 74 nt
Organism: Myotis lucifugus (little brown bat)
Lineage: Eukaryota; Metazoa; Chordata; Mammalia; Chiroptera; Vespertilionidae
Source: Rfam
GGUGGUUCUCAGGUGACACACCCCAGAAUCGGGCUCCCUUCUCUCUGGUUCCCGUUGCAUCACCCAAGAAUACA